Molecule: ribosomal RNA, 481 nt
Filed under: uncultured bacterium
Lineage: Bacteria
Description: partial 16S ribosomal RNA
Rfam family: Bacterial small subunit ribosomal RNA
Source: RNAcentral
GACGAACGCUGGCGGCGUGCUUAACACAUGCAAGUCGAGCGGAAAGGCCACUUCGGUGGUACUCGAGCGGCGAACGGGUGAGUAACACGUGAGUAAUCUGCCCCUGGCUUUGGGAUAGCCACCGGAAACGGUGAUUAAUACCGGAUACGACCACUUCUCGCAUGGGAUGGUGGUGGAAAGUUUUUUCGGCCAGGGAUGUGCUCGCGGCCUAUCAGCUUGAUGGUGAGGUAAGGGCUCACCAUGGCUUCGACGGGUAGCCGGCCUGAGAGGGUGACCGGUCACACUGGGACUGAGACGCGGCCCAGACUCCUACGGGAGGCAGCAGUGGGGAAUAUUGGACAAUGGGCGGAAGCCUGAUUCAGCAACGCCGCGUGAGGGAUGACGGCCUUCGGGUUGUGAACCUCUUUCAGCAGAGACGAAGCGCAAGUGACGGUACCUGCAGAAGAAGCACCGGCCAACUACGUGCCAGCCGCCGCGGUAA